This is a long non-coding RNA of Lates calcarifer (barramundi perch), 1825 nucleotides long. RefSeq lists it as uncharacterized. NCBI's taxonomy places the organism in Eukaryota, Metazoa, Chordata, Actinopteri, Centropomidae. The record is from RefSeq and is a predicted model, not a curated record. The transcript has 3 exons.
CGUUUAAAGCUCGCCUAUGGUCGGUCUCGAAUAGAACCUCACACCAAACUGCGUUUAGAAAUAUCUCUAUUUAAUGUUUCUUUACUUAUUGGCGAAAGUACUUGUACUUCAAUGUAAAUAGAGACCUUAUUGUGGAACAUUGGAAAGCACUAUUCACUUCGGCAUACGUGUAAGGUUUUAAACAGUACUCUAUUUGUGUAAAAUUUUGACUUUUGUAAUUACAACGCAGAUGUUUUCCGGGUAGGAAUGUUCCGUCGAAAGCAGCUUUAGAACACAUGGAGUCGCCCGGUAAAUGUGGCGUUUUAUUGCGGGAAAACAUUGUUUUGUGGAUUUUAUAGAUGCCGAAUAAAAAGAUAGUACCAAUAAUUGGAAACGGUAGUGACUCAUCCUGUGUGAGUCAUCUAUGUUGACCGACAAGCAAGGGCGAGUUUAAAACCCCAUAGUUUCAAACGCAGUACGUCACGGAGAUGAGCUAGACUACUCUCAUCUUUCCCACAGGAGGCUCUGCCUCCCAACCCCUUUGUUCAGUCUAGCCGGUGGGUUGAGUCAGAGGGAGGCUGUGCUAGCCCAACAAACCCAUACCACUGUGGGAAACCCGUCAAGACCCAGGAGAGGCCGAAAACAUAUCUAAGGUUAUCUCUAGGAGUCCAAACCGAGACUGAUAGCGUGUUUAACCAGAGGCAGACAACAGAAAAGUUGGUAUUGAGUGUUGCUGAUGCUGCGUUUCAUUUCGGAAACCGUCAGGAGCUGUGUGCCAGUGGUCGGAUACUAAAACAACGAUACAUGUCGAUUAUCUUCUUGCUGCUGCUGCUUGAGCUAUAUCCAGAAAAAUAAUGAACCGGCAGGCUAACCACUGAACCGUCGCCGGUCUAUUGCUGCUGAUAGUGUGCAGUUGUUGCCAUCAUCCACUGAUCCACGCUGGCUCUCCUUUCAGUUUCUGCUCAGCAUCCAUAUUUGCAUCCCAGGGAGUGGCAACCACUAAUCCUCCUUAUUCAGGCAAGAAAUUGAAAGUUGGCCGGUUGUCGGACACCCCUCGGACGCUUUAAUUUAACACAGGAAGCUAAACAUGGAGAGCGACAGCCACCACUCCCGCAUUUAGUGCCUGAUCCACAAGCCUUCAUCACCCAGGGAGGAGCUCUCAGGUCCCAGCCAUCUCUCCCUACCACUGUAGAAUGAAUAUGCUCAAGUCCAGUGGACUGAAAAUCCCUGGCCGUGGGCCCAAGCAUUCCAGCCCAGUGGGAAGGACCUCGGCGGGUGGAACGUCCAGCCCCGUUGUCCCUAAAGACAGCACCCCACUGAAGCCACCACACCGACUAAAAUCUCUGAAGAGGGCGAUGAUGUACUGGGGGACUACACAGUGGGUGAACAGGUCUGGGUCAACGGCGUCAAACCAGGAGUUAUUGCCUACCUAGGGGAGACCCAGUUUGCCCCGGGACAGUGGGCAGGCGUGAUACUGAAUGACCUAGUUGGCAAAAACGAUGGUUCAGUGGGUGGCGUGCGCUACUUUGAGUGCCAGCCCCUCCAGGGCAUCUUCACGCGACCCUCCAAGCUCACCCGACAGCCGGUCGGCGAGGGGAGCGACAGCCACUCCACUGACUCGCUCUCUACCCAGAAUCAGACUCAGCAGGGUGGCAGCGGCGCCCCCCCUGGCCAGCGGGUGGUAGUGCCACUCAGAGAGGGCCUGCUCAACAGCGCUGUGAAAACAGGCAACGAGUCAGGGUCCAACAUGUCUGACAGCGGGUCAGUAAAGAAAGGUGGAGAUAAGGACCUACGAGUGGGAGAUCGAGUUCUGGUGAGUAAUUUUGUGUUGGAUAACAAAUGGUUU